GCUGGAGGAUGAGUCUCUGUCUGUCUCUUUCUCUGUUCUACACCACUCCUCUGCAAUUCUGUUGGGCCAGGCACGCAGUGAGUACUCUGCCCACUGUGCAGCCACCAAUGGGAUUGGAAGGACACAAGCACUGCAACCAGAAUGACAAAUGUGUGUGUGUCUCUCUUUCCCAGGGUUGAGCAUCCAUGAGGCCAAAGACCUGUGGUGCUGGGACUGGCACCAGGACAGCAGGCUCCUGGGCUACAGGAACACAGCCAGGGUGGGGGAGGUCUUCGGAAAGUUCUUCUUGGAAGGGCAGAGAAGACUCUUGCUCCGGAUGUCAGUGCUGGCCAUCCACAACCCCCUGCUGUGAGUCAGCCAGGCUGGGCUGGUCCUGGCCUACUUCCUCCAGAGGGAAGCCCAAGAGCUGAUGGUGGACAAGCAAGAGGACAUCACCUCCAAAGUGAUGCACCAGCUCCGCAUUAUCUGGCACUUGCACCAGGUGCCUGAGGCACUGCAAGGGUUGUGCCACUGAGGCCAUCAGCAACUCCCACUCCGUCCUGCAGGUACUGCUCUGG
This is a long non-coding RNA of Trachemys scripta elegans, 557 nucleotides long. RefSeq lists it as uncharacterized. Lineage: Eukaryota; Metazoa; Chordata; Testudines; Emydidae. The transcript has 3 exons. The record is from RefSeq and is a predicted model, not a curated record.